UGAGCUCAACCGGGUCAAAUUGACUCUAGUAGGGAGUCCGUUUUAUACAGGUAGUGACUCCCUAAUGGAGUCAGAUUGACCUCUUUGAAGUGAACACGA
Molecule: microRNA precursor, 99 nt
Filed under: Zootermopsis nevadensis
Lineage: Eukaryota; Metazoa; Arthropoda; Insecta; Blattodea; Termopsidae
Description: microRNA mir-929
Rfam family: mir-929 microRNA precursor family (bases 10-86)
Source: RNAcentral